This 561-nucleotide ribosomal RNA is filed under the name Scomber japonicus (chub mackerel). Its description in RNAcentral is "partial 16S ribosomal RNA". It matches the Rfam family "Bacterial large subunit ribosomal RNA", at positions 590 to 1344 of the family's 2925-position model. Lineage: Eukaryota; Metazoa; Chordata; Actinopteri; Scombriformes; Scombridae. The record is from RNAcentral.
GAUUAUUUCUCGUACCUUUUGCAUCAUGAUUUAGCUAGUACUACCCAAGCAAAGAGCACUUUAGUUUGGACCCCCGAAACUAGGUGAGCUACUCCAAGACAGCCUAUCAAUAGGGCGAACCCGUCUCUGUGGCAAAAGAGUGGGAAGAGCUUCGAGUAGAGGUGACAGACCUACCGAACCUAGUUAUAGCUGGUUGCCUGAGAAUUGGAUAGGAGUUCAGCCUCCAGGCUUCUUUAUUCGCUAAGGCUCCAUUCCGGCAUCCUCACCGAGAUUCUAAAGAAACCUAGAGAGUUAGUCAAAGGGGGUACAGCCCCUUUGAAACAAGAUACAACUUUCCCAGGAGGGUAAAGAUCAUAAUUACUAAAGGUAAACUAAUGCCUAAGUGGGCCUAAAAGCAGCCAUCCUUACAGAAAGCGUUACAGCUCAAGCAUUAAAUCCCAACCACAUAUCCGGAUAACCCAAUCCUAACCCCCUUAGCACUAUCAGGCCGUCUCAUGCAUACAUGAGAGCGCACAUGCUAAUAUGAGUAACAAGAGAGCACCCGCCUCUCUCCUCGCACAC